UAUGACGUACUUGUACUGAUUGAGAUUUUAACACGAAGUGAGUGGCGAACGGGUGAGUAACACGUGGGUAACCUGCCCAGAAGUAGGGGAUAACACCUGGAAACAGAUGCUAGUACCGUAUAACAGAGAAAACCGCAUGGUUUUCUUUUAAUAAUGGCUCUGCUAUCACUUCUGGAUGGACCCGCGGCGUAUUAGCUAGUUGGUGAGGUAAAGGCUCACCAAGGCAGUGAUACGUACCCGACCUGAGAGGGUAAUCGGCCACAUUGGGACUGAGACACUGCCCAAACUCCUACGGGAGGCAGCAGUAGGGAAUCUUCCACAAUGGACGCAAGUCUGAUGGAGCAACGCCCUGUGAGUGAAGAAGGGUUUCGGCUCGUAAAGCUCUGUUGUUAAAGAAGAACGUGGGUAAAAGUACCUGUUUACCCAGUGACGGUAUUUAACCAGAAAGCCACGGCUAACUACGUGCCAUCAGCCGCGGUAAUACGUAGGUGGCCAGCGUUAUCCGGAUUUAUUGGGUGUAAAGCCAGCGCAGGCGGUCUUUUAAGUCUAAUGUGAAAGCCUUCGGCUCAACCGAAGAAGUGCAUUGUAAAACUGGGAGACUUGAGUGCAGAAAAGGACAGUGGAAUUCCAUGUGU
This 635-nucleotide ribosomal RNA is filed under the name Pediococcus pentosaceus. RNAcentral describes it as "bacterial SSU rRNA". It matches the Rfam family "Bacterial small subunit ribosomal RNA", at positions 58 to 676 of the family's 1533-position model. The record is from RNAcentral. Lineage: Bacteria; Bacillati; Bacillota; Bacilli; Lactobacillales; Lactobacillaceae.